Molecule: ribosomal RNA, 403 nt
Filed under: Verrucomicrobiota bacterium
Lineage: Bacteria; Pseudomonadati; Verrucomicrobiota
Description: Verrucomicrobia bacterium partial 16S ribosomal RNA
Rfam family: Bacterial small subunit ribosomal RNA
Source: RNAcentral
UGGGGAAUUUUGCACAAUGGGGGAAACCCUGAUGCAGCGACGCCGCGUGAUUUAGAAGGCCUUCGGGUUGUAAAAAUCUUUUGUAUGGGAAGAAAAUGACAGUACCAUACGAAUAAGGACCGGCUAAUUCCGUGCCAGCAGCCGCGGUAAUACGGAAGGUCCAGGCGUUAUCCGGAUUUAUUGGGUUUAAAGGGAGCGUAGGCUGGAGAUUAAGUGUGUUGUGAAAUGUAGACGCUCAACGUCUGAAUUGCAGCGCAUACUGGUUUCCUUGAGUACGCACAACGUUGGCGGAAUUCGUCGUGUAGCGGUGAAAUGCUUAGAUAUGACGAAGAACUCCGAUUGCGAAGGCAGCUGACGGGAGCGCAACUGACGCUUAAGCUCGAAGGUGCGGGUAUCAAACAGG